UACGUAGGUGGCAAGCGUUGUCCGGAUUUAUUGGGCGUAAAGAGCGUGUAGGCGGCCAUACAGGUCCGUUGUGAAAACUGGAGGCUUAACCUCCAGACGUCGAUGGAAACCGUAUGGCUAGAGUCCGGAAGAGGAGAGUGGAAUUCCUGGUGUAGCGGUGAAAUGCGCAGAUAUCAGGAAGAACACCCGUGGCGAAGGCGGCUCUCUGGGCCGUUACUGACGCUGAGACGCGAAAGCGUGGGGAGCGAACAGG
RNAcentral lists this ribosomal RNA (253 nucleotides) under uncultured bacterium. RNAcentral describes it as "partial 16S ribosomal RNA". It matches the Rfam family "Bacterial small subunit ribosomal RNA", at positions 524 to 776 of the family's 1533-position model. The record is from RNAcentral.